ACACGGGGGGCGCAAGCGUUAUUCGGAAUUAUUGGGCGUAAAGCGUACGUAGGUGGCUUGAUAAGUCAGAUGUGAAAGCCCUGGGCUUAACCUGGGAACUGCAUUUGAUACUGUCGAGCUAGAGUUUGGUAGAGGGAAGUGGAAUUCCGGGUGUAGCGGUGAAAUGCGUAGAGAUCUGAAGGAACACCAGUGGCGAAGGCGACUCCCUGGACUUGAACUGACGCUGAGGUACGAAAGCGUGGGUAGCAAACGGGAUUAGAAACCCCAGUAGUCC
This 274-nucleotide ribosomal RNA is filed under the name uncultured bacterium. RNAcentral's name for it is "partial 16S ribosomal RNA". It matches the Rfam family "Bacterial small subunit ribosomal RNA", at positions 523 to 796 of the family's 1533-position model. The record is from RNAcentral.